GUCUCUGGGGCGCAAUCGGUUAGCGCGUUCGGCUGUUAACCGGAAGGUUGGUGGUUCGAGCUCCACCCAGGGACC
Non-coding RNA from Hippopotamus amphibius kiboko, 75 nucleotides. NCBI's taxonomy places the organism in Eukaryota, Metazoa, Chordata, Mammalia, Artiodactyla, Hippopotamidae. The record is from the annotation of a RefSeq genome assembly.